AUUGAACGCUGGCGGCAGGCCUAACACAUGCAAGUCGAGCGGAUGAAGGGAGCUUGCUCCUGGAUUCAGCGGCGGACGGGUGAGUAAUGCCUAGGAAUCUGCCUGGUAGUGGGGGAUAACGUCCGGAAACGGGCGCUAAUACCGCAUACGUCCUGAGGGAGAAAGUGGGGGAUCUUCGGACCUCACGCUAUCAGAUGAGCCUAGGUCGGAUUAGCUAGUUGGUGGGGUAAAGGCCUACCGAGGCGACGAUCCGUAACUGGUCUGAGAGGAUGAUCAGCCACACUGGAACUGAGACACGGUCCAGACUCCUACGGGAGGCAGCAGUGGGGAAUAUUGGACAAUGGGCGAAAGCCUGAUCCAGCCAUGCCGCGUGUGUGAAGAAGGUCUUCGGAUUGUAAAGCACUUUAAGUUGGGAGGAAGGGCAGUAAGUUAAUACCUUGCUGUUUUGACGUUACCAACAGAAUAAGCACCGGCUAACUUCGUG
RNAcentral lists this ribosomal RNA (484 nucleotides) under uncultured bacterium. RNAcentral describes it as "partial 16S ribosomal RNA". It matches the Rfam family "Bacterial small subunit ribosomal RNA", at positions 30 to 507 of the family's 1533-position model. The record is from RNAcentral.